Pristis pectinata (smalltooth sawfish) is the source of this 485-nucleotide long non-coding RNA. RefSeq lists it as uncharacterized. The transcript is spliced from 3 exons. Lineage: Eukaryota; Metazoa; Chordata; Chondrichthyes; Rhinopristiformes; Pristidae. The record is from RefSeq and is a predicted model, not a curated record.
UCGUCAAGCACCCAUUUACACUAAUCCUGCAUUAAUCGUAUUUUAUUCUCCGUCCAGCACCCACCUACAGUAGUGGCAACUUGCAGCAGCCAAUUAUACUAUCGACCCACACGUUGUUGGGGUGUGGGAGGAAACCGGAGGACCUAGAGGAACCUCACACGAUCACAGGGAGAACCUGCAAACUCCAGUUCAGGAAUGUUUUCCUUUGGGCAAUCACACUUCUGAAGGUUCCCGGUGAAUUGGCUCUGUCCAACCUUCCUGUCAUCGGACACCAGACAAAGUUGUUGGGACAGGUGACAAUACCAACAACUCACCGUUGAAGAAAUAAUUUCCUCAGCACGGUAACAGGCCCUUCCAGCCCAACAAGCCUGCGCCACUCAAUUACACCCAUGUUAACCUACUAACCCAUACGUCUUUGGAAUGUGGGAGGAAACCGGAGCACCCGGAGGAAACCCGCGCAGUCAUGGGGAGAACAUACAAACUCC